This is a long non-coding RNA of Girardinichthys multiradiatus, 917 nucleotides long. RefSeq lists it as uncharacterized. The record is from RefSeq and is a predicted model, not a curated record. The transcript has 7 exons. Lineage: Eukaryota; Metazoa; Chordata; Actinopteri; Cyprinodontiformes; Goodeidae.
AGGUGUAUUGACAACUGGGAUGGACUCCAGCCUCCCAGUGAGAGCCUGGCCAAGAUUGUACGGAACCUAAACGGGGCCGAAAUCCACCUGAACCCAUCACUCACUUGCCACCACAACAGCACUGCUGAUAUUGCUUUCUCUAUUGCCCAGUCUCAAUGGGCAGAGACGCAGCCAAGAAAGCCAUGGUAACUCUGGAGGAGCUGCAGAGAUCAACAGCUCACACAGGAGAAUUAGUUGGUGAGUAGGAUUAAAAUAUCCAGGGACUUGUUCAAAAGAAGAAUUGGGCUCACCUGUUCAUUAAACUUUGCUUGAUACAAAACUCAGAGGCAAGUUGCAGGCUUUGUGUGACGCUGACACUGUAUUGGACUCGAAGCAGAAAUCACCAGGAAUCGCAACUUUCCCGACCCUCACAUCUUUGAGAGGGGCAACUCAGCUUCACUUUGAAUCAAGAUUUUACUUCAAUCCUCAGAAUUCAGAAGCCAAGCCUGGAGCAAACAAGACAAAAAUAUCAGAAUGUCUUAUGAGUGGAUUGUGUCCAUUGAAAAUCUGAACAAUGUUCCAAAUCCAUGGAAAGGAUUUACUAUGAACCGGUGUUUGGUGGUGGCACUGGCUGUGCUGCUAGUGAGCUCAGGAGUAAAGGAAGUUCAGGAAGCUCUGGAUUAUUUUGUGGAGGAGACAGGUAUCAUGUCCCUCAUUGACUGUCUCCAGACAGGGUCUCUACCUCAGUUUUCCAUAUGGGACAGUGUCACAAGUUGGUGGGGAUCCGAAGAACUUGGAGCAAUACGGAGAAGAAAAAAACCAAUAGGCAAGAAAGCAAUCCUGAAACCAAAAGUAAAAGAGUGAAACAAAUAUGGAGCUGAUUUAGAGGUUUCGGUUACAGAUUCAUGGGAUUCCUGAAUAAAUAACAAACAAGUUCA